CUUUCCCUCUUUCUUCAUGCUUUACACAUGCAAGUCGAACGGCAGCGCGGGCUUUGGCCUGGCGGCGAGUGGCGAACGGGUGAGUAAUACAUCGGAACGUGCCCAGUAGUGGGGGAUAGCUCGGCGAAAGCCGGAUUAAUACCGCAUACGACCUGAGGGUGAAAGCGGGGGAUCUUCGGACCUCGCGCUAUUGGAGCGGCCGAUGGCAGAUUAGCUAGUUGGUGGGGUAAAGGCCUACCAAGGCGACGAUCUGUAGCUGGUCUGAGAGGACGACCAGCCACACUGGGACUGAGACACGGCCCAGACUCCUACGGGAGGCAGCAGUGGGGAAUUUUGGACAAUGGGCGAAAGCCUGAUCCAGCAAUGCCGCGUGUGUGAUGAAGGCCUUCGGGUUGUAAAGCACUUUUGGCGGGAACGAAAAGGACUGUGCUAAUACCACGGUUCGAUGACGGUACCCGCAGAAUAAGCACCGGCUAACUACGUG
This 484-nucleotide ribosomal RNA is filed under the name uncultured bacterium. Its description in RNAcentral is "partial 16S ribosomal RNA". It matches the Rfam family "Bacterial small subunit ribosomal RNA", at positions 36 to 507 of the family's 1533-position model. The record is from RNAcentral.